Molecule: transfer RNA, 73 nt
Filed under: Astrapogon stellatus (conchfish)
Lineage: Eukaryota; Metazoa; Chordata; Actinopteri; Kurtiformes; Apogonidae
Description: tRNA-Lys
Rfam family: tRNA
About the family: Transfer RNA (tRNA) molecules are approximately 80 nucleotides in length. Their secondary structure includes four short double-helical elements and three loops (D, anti-codon, and T loops).
Source: RNAcentral
CACUAAGAAGCUUAUAGGGACAAGCAUUAGCCUUUUAAGCUAAAGACAGGUGACUCCCAACCACCCUUAGUGG